This 353-nucleotide ribosomal RNA is filed under the name uncultured bacterium. RNAcentral's name for it is "bacterial SSU rRNA". It matches the Rfam family "Bacterial small subunit ribosomal RNA", at positions 917 to 1271 of the family's 1533-position model. The record is from RNAcentral.
GGGCCCGCACAAGCGGUGGAGUAUGUGGUUUAAUUCGAUGCAACGCGAAGAACCUUACCAGGGUUUGACAUCCUGCGAAUCUCUUGGAAACGAGAGAGUGCCUUCGGGAGCGCAGUGACAGGUGGUGCAUGGCUGUCGUCAGCUCGUGUCGUGAGAUGUUGGGUUAAGUCCCGUAACGAGCGCAACCCUCGUCCUUAGUUGCUACCAUUUAGUUGGGCACUUUAAGGAAACUGCCGGUGAUAAGCCGGAGGAAGGUGGGGAUGACGUCAAAUCAUCACGGCCCUUACGUCCUGGGCUACACACGUGCUACAAUGGCCGGUACAGAGAGCAGCCACCACGCGAGUGGGAGCGAA